Molecule: long non-coding RNA, 2027 nt
Organism: Oreochromis aureus
Lineage: Eukaryota; Metazoa; Chordata; Actinopteri; Cichliformes; Cichlidae
Source: Ensembl
GCCACUCAUUAUAAGACACUGUGAGUCUCUGCAUGCUGCCUUUAUGGAGCUACAGCUGUUUGUAUACACUGAACAAAAAGCUUUGUAGCUGUAUACUGACUCCUGACACUACAACACAUCACACAGACACACACAGCCUCCUGUUUCCUUCUCACACACAAAGAAACAGUCAGGAUGAAAAUUAGUCUCAGGGAAAUAUGUUUAAUAUGCAGCCAGUACUUCCUGUUUUAUGUCAAAGUUAAAUCUCACCUGCAGAGACGAACACGGCAAACAUCAAAGUGGAGCAGAGUGACGUAAUUACAGCAAACAUUUCCGGGUUCUUGAUCUGACUCUUAGCUUUUUCUAAAUGUCUCAGUCUGUCAUGAGAUUAAAAUUUAGGCUUAAAAAGCAGUUGGAUCAGUAACGUUGGUUUACAGGAAGUUGUGUCAUUGUGACGUUUGGUGCGCUGCACUGCGGGGUCGAGCAGAAACAAGUGCGUCACAACAGAAGAGGUGAAGUCGAAAGAAAGUUUUAUUGCUUCAGUUCUUGAAGCAUCCUGGCAGGAAAGAUCUGAACCUGUUUCAUGUGUCAGUCGUCAUGUAUGAACAGUUUGUGUCUUUGAAUCAGAAGUUUGUUUUGUCUCUGCACCGAGUUUGUUUCCCACAGCAAGUUUCAAGCUCACAUCCUGCUCCGCCUCUUCCUGAUUCAGCUUCAGCUCCGAGGUCGGAGGUCUGUGUCUGCCGAGCAGCUUAUCAAACAACACCGCGACAUAACUCUGACUAACCUGAGAACCAGCAGCAGCCUGCACCAGUUUACAAAACCAGUAGCCUGUGUAAAUCACCAGUUCAUCCAGUGCUGUCCAAUUCAAAGAACAAAGAAUCACCAGUUUUAGAAUUUGAGGUUUUCUGCUAAAUUUCCUCCUUUUCUAUGGAGGUGAAUUGUAAAGUGAAACCUUCAAACAGAUUUUUUUAGCUUAAAGACUAAAAGUGAGUUUUAGAAACAGAAAGAAAAACUUACUGUUGUUGUGAAGGACGUCUGGAAGCCUCAAAGGCCUCUGUGGUCAUCAGGGUGGAAAAUCUAAAGAAAAUAAAACACAUUAGAUUUCUGUGUCUCUGUCACAGCUGCAUCACAGACACGGACGUCCACACAGACCCACCAGCCUCGUGUCUCCUUCACACACACAGAGAAACUGAAUCAAUAUGAAAAUAAUUCUUUGAGAAAUAUUAUUAAUAAUUUAACCAGAGUGACACUCAGUUUGUUUUCUAACAGUUAAAUCUCACCUGCAGAGACAAACAUGAAGACUCCAUCGAACAUCAGCAAAGUGGAGCAGAGUGACGCAGUUACAGCAGACAUGUCCGUGUUCUCUGUUUCUGCUCAUCUGACUCUUAGUUUGUCCUAAAUGUCUGAGUCUGUUGGUGUUUUCACUCAAUAACUGAACCUGAGUUUAAAUCUGACGACACAAGAUUAAAUUUAAGGUUUAAAUAAAGCUGAAAGUCACUGACUGUUAGAACCGAUCUGUCGUUCAGCCGCUCCGUCAAACUCCACUCUUACAGGAUGCAACGUCUCGUACGGAAGUGACGUUGGAGUCACGUUUGAUGCGUUGGACCAAUAAAAUUUGAAUGAUCGAGCAAUGAUUUCAUGGUUCAGGAUUUACAGGUUUAACGUCCACUAGAAAGGAAAUGACAUUUUAAAUGAAGUCUCACUCAGUUUUGAAACAGUUUUUCUGUUCAAACAUUUUUGUGGGUGGAUGUUAACCAAACUGUAACCAUGACAACUGAAACUUUUUACCUAAAAGACUGAAAAUGAUUUUUAGAAAAAGACACAAACACUUACUGUUGUUCUCAAGAAAUCUGUUAAAUCCUCAAACACUCGUCUGAUCAUCAGGAUGGAACAAAAAUCCAUAUAAAGAUAAAAAGUGUGAGGUUGGUGUAAUCCAUCUGCUUUCUCUGUAGGUCAAAAUGAACCUACUGAAGGUUUAUUCAACACAAGCAAUUAGAAGAAAUAGUAAAUUAAAAUACUCUGUGUGUGAACUCGACUGUGUACCAACC